This 334-nucleotide unclassified non-coding RNA is filed under the name Hevea brasiliensis (rubber tree). The record is from RNAcentral. Lineage: Eukaryota; Viridiplantae; Streptophyta; Magnoliopsida; Malpighiales; Euphorbiaceae.
AGAGCCGCUCAAACUUGUCAUCCUAUUAAAAUAGAACAACACUAAUUCACAGAAUUCUAACCGUUGAAUACAUGCAUUACGACAAACAUAAUAAUGAAAGGAAGAAAAACAGUAUAUAAUAAGGAACAUUUAUUUAAAUAAUGAAUAAAUGAGGAACCCUAAGAUCUAUAGGCACUAUCAUCGUAAAACUAUCAUCAAGCAAAUGGUGAGUAACACAAAGGGCCCAAAAACUUACACAAAACAAAGUCCAUUUGAAAACAUCCAAUUAUUAAUAAGUUUGAAUAUUCAGUGAAUAUCCAUCCAUCAAAUUGAAUGUCUUCGGAAAAAAAAAAAA